UACGUAGGGGGCAAGCGUUGUCCGGAAUCAUUGGGCGUAAAGAGCGUGUAGGCGGUCCGGUAAGUCGGCUGUGAAAGUCCAGGGCUCAACCCUGGGAUGCCGGUCGAUACUGCCGGACUAGAGUUCGGAAGAGGCGAGUGGAAUUCCCGGUGUAGCGGUGAAAUGCGUAGAUAUCUGGAGGAACACCGGUGGCGAAGGCGGCAUCCUGGACCGACAUUGACGCUGAGGCGCGAAAGCCAGGGGAGCAAACGGG
Molecule: ribosomal RNA, 253 nt
Filed under: uncultured bacterium
Lineage: Bacteria
Description: partial 16S ribosomal RNA
Rfam family: Bacterial small subunit ribosomal RNA
Source: RNAcentral